Molecule: non-coding RNA, 133 nt
Filed under: Candidatus Sulfotelmatobacter kueseliae
Lineage: Bacteria; Pseudomonadati; Acidobacteriota; Terriglobia; Terriglobales; Candidatus Korobacteraceae
Source: RNAcentral
CAGAGGGUGCAACUCCCGCCCGGGAACUGGUUCGCUCCACCCGGAAGCAAUCGAAGCGGCAGCAGAGGCAACGAAGCUGUCGGGGCUUUCGGUGGAGAGCGGUAUCUCAAGGGAAUGAAGCGGGACAAUGGGA